RNAcentral lists this long non-coding RNA (1445 nucleotides) under Crocodylus porosus (Australian saltwater crocodile). RNAcentral describes it as "lncRNA (ENSCPRG00005018378.1)". The record is from RNAcentral. Lineage: Eukaryota; Metazoa; Chordata; Crocodylia; Crocodylidae.
CCCGGCCGUCCCCGCCGCUAGCUCCGCGCCGAGCCGAGCUCCCGCCCGCCGCCUCCCCAUCUCCGCGGCGCGCACAUCCGCAGACACGCGGCGACACCCGCCGCCAGCAGCCGCCGCCGCCACAUCACAUGCGACCGCCGGGAGAUUACAUGAGAGAGAGCUGGGGGAGCUUUGCCUUCUCGCUCGUCCGGCGACCGCCGCCCUGAUGUCCCUCCCCGAGGAUGGCUUUCCCCUUCUUCUUCCUCCCCCGGCCCCCUGCAGCCCGCGGGGAGGCUGAGUCGGGGUCGAGCCCGUAGGGCAGGGGCAGCCCCCGGACAAAGCGGUCCCCGCGCCGCGGCUCUGGCAACAGCUCGUUUGCAGGAGGAAACCGGGGAGCAGCCCCUGGAGGAGCAGGGAAUCCCUCAGCCCUUUGUGCGGCGCCAGCCUGGCUGUUUGCUGCCGGAACGAGACCAACUCUUGGAUCUGAAUAUGACUGACUUGAACAGCUGUUCGCAAGCUUGACUUCCUGCUUUUCAGAAUUACUGUUAGGCCCAGUCCUAAUAAGCCUUGGAAAUUUAAAAAAAAACUAAAUAAUCUCACUUGAGACUGCACUUUGCUGAAACACUUUUGUCCCGGUUACCAAAUCUUAAACUUAGUCUGGAUGUCUCAUAGCUGCAGAUAGGAAAAGAGCUCCUUACCUUAGUUAACGUUGAGCCCUCCUUCAAUGGGAGACUUUUUAGCCUAGUCUUUUGUGAGACAGUAGGAAACCACAAAAUUCAAGGUAUUGGAGUUUGGUAAUGUUGAAGGCUUCCCGUGAAGAGACUUAGCAGUUGUGUGUAUUUCUUACUAUAUACAAUACACUAGUUAAAACCGAAGGAUGCAGGAACUCAUUGGCAGAACCAGGCCAGUAUCUUGAAAACAAGGCAGCUCUUCUUCUGUACUGGACUUUACUUAACUGUAACUUUGGGUCUCUGAUUCAGUGCUUAGAUUCCAUUAGUAGAUUCAAGCUCUGAACUCAAAUUUGGUGGUUAGGCCUAGAUCUGUGGUUAUAGUUUUGAUGUGCUUUCAUUAAAAAUGAAAACAAAUCAUGGGUUUAUCAUCUUACACCACUGCUUUGGAGUUUCAAAGAAAGAGUUAUAUUAACGGGUCUAACUGUACUUGUUAGAAGCCACAGUUAAAGACUGAGACUCCAUUGUGCUAGGUGCUAUUCAAAUACUGAACAAAAGACAGUCCAUUUUGCUGGAGGCAGUGAUAAUUGGCAUAAAGCAGGGAGAGAUAAGAAGACUGAAGAAGACAGUGUCUUCAAAACAGUACAAAAACUCUCACCAGUGUUUUGGGUCUUAUGAUUUUGACAGCCUCUUUUGAAAAGAAAGCGAAGUAAAAAUCUCACCCACAAUUUCACAACAUGUUGUAAUGAAAUUGUGAAAGCCCCUUUCAAAUAGUGAAUUAAAAGUUAGGAGUCCUGG